CGGGGGGGGUAAGCGUUGUUCGGAAUUACUGGGCGUAAAGGGCUCGUAGGCGGCCAACUAAGUCGGACGUGAAAUCCCUCAGCUUAACUGGGGAACUGCGUCUGAUACUGGAUGGCUUGGAUUUGGGAGAGGGAUGCGGAAUUCCAGGUGUAGCGGUGAAAUGCGUAGAUAUCUGGAGGAACACCGGUGGCGAAGGCGGCAUCCUGGACCAACAUUGACGCUGAGGAGCGAAAGCCAGGGGAGCAAACGGGAUUAGAUACCCCGGUAGUCCUGGCCCUAAACGAUGAAUGCUUGGUGUGGCGGGUAUCGAUCCCUGCCGUGCCGAAGCUAACGCAUUAAGCAUUCCGCCUGGGGGGGUACGGUCGCAAGGCUG
This 373-nucleotide ribosomal RNA is filed under the name uncultured organism. Its description in RNAcentral is "bacterial SSU rRNA". It matches the Rfam family "Bacterial small subunit ribosomal RNA", at positions 526 to 896 of the family's 1533-position model. The record is from RNAcentral.